Populus euphratica (Euphrates poplar) is the source of this 387-nucleotide long non-coding RNA. RefSeq lists it as uncharacterized. Lineage: Eukaryota; Viridiplantae; Streptophyta; Magnoliopsida; Malpighiales; Salicaceae. The record is from RefSeq and is a predicted model, not a curated record. The transcript is spliced from 3 exons.
CCUGCCCCGUGAUCAUCAAUCUAUCCUCUCCGAAUCUGAUAGUCCUCUGCUGAUUUCUUCCAAGAAACAACUCUAUGUCAGCCUCUGUGGUAAUCCUAUCCUCAUUGAGGAUGGUAAAAAGAGCUUUUCAUUGGAGAAAAGGAGCGAGAAGAAAUGAUAUAUGCUCUCAGCAACGGAUCUCAGAAUUGCACGGGGUGACGCUCCUGAAUAUUUGGGAUGGGCUUCUGAUCCUGGCUCAAGGUUUUCCGAAGUGGCUCACUUUUUUUGUGUAUGCUGGCUUGAAAUCAGUAGCAAAAUCAAUACAAGCAUGCUAGCUAUCACCAGCAACAUUGUGUACAGGACACCUUGUCUUCAAGCUCUCCGUAGAAGCGCUUGGUAACCAGCCAA